UGGGGAAUUUUGGACAAUGGGCGAAAGCCUGAUCCAGCAAUGCCGCGUGUGUGAAGAAGGCCUUCGGGUUGUAAAGCACUUUUGUCCGGAAAGAAAUCCUUGGCUCUAAUACAGUCGGGGGAUGACGGUACCGGAAGAAUAAGCACCGGCUAACUACGUGCCAGCAGCCGCGGUAAUACGUAGGGUGCAAGCGUUAAUCGGAAUUACUGGGCGUAAAGCGUGCGCAGGCGGUUUGCUAAGACCGAUGUGAAAUCCCCGGGCUCAACCUGGGAACUGCAUUGGUGACUGGCAGGCUAGAGUAUGGCAGAGGGGGGUAGAAUUCCACGUGUAGCAGUGAAAUGCGUAGAGAUGUGGAGGAAUACCGAUGGCGAAGGCAGCCCCCUGGGCCAAUACUGACGCUCAUGCACGAAAAGCGUGGGGGAGCAAACAGGAUUAGAUACCCUGGUAGUCCACGCCCUAAACGAUGUCAACUAGUUGUUGGGGGAUUCAUUUCCUUAGUAACGUAGCUAACGCGUGAAGUUGACCGCCU
Molecule: ribosomal RNA, 529 nt
Filed under: uncultured bacterium
Lineage: Bacteria
Description: partial 16S ribosomal RNA
Rfam family: Bacterial small subunit ribosomal RNA
Source: RNAcentral